Ramazzottius varieornatus is the source of this 119-nucleotide ribosomal RNA. The record is from Rfam. NCBI's taxonomy places the organism in Eukaryota, Metazoa, Tardigrada, Eutardigrada, Parachela, Ramazzottiidae.
GCCUGCGACCAUACCACGUAGAAUGCUCCCGAUCCCGUUCGAUCUCGGAAGAUAAGCUACGUCGGGCCCGGUUAGUAUUUAGAUGGGCGACCGCUUGGGAACACCGGGUGUUGCCGGCU